GUCUCUCCUGGAGGUCCCCCACGCCCUUCACCACUCCUGUCCAUGGGAAGCACAGGAAGUGGACAAAGAGGCCCUACCUGGAGGGAGCUGCAUUUGGCCUUGGUGGGGCCUGAGCUCUGGACCCAGAAUAUAAAGAAUCUUUAUCUUUCAGCCACCUCAUCCUGACAGUGACAGGAGAACUGCCAGUCAGGGGAGGCAAAAAGGGACAGAGUGAGAGAGAAGCGAGAAGGCAGAAUGCAAAGGGAGAGAUCUGGUGACAAUGUCCUGGCAUCCUGGCACUCCAACAUGGCACGGUCUUGUUAUAUGAACAGGUUUCUGUCACAGCAGCACAAAACAGUCCAAGACAACAAAGUGCCUUGCAUGCCACAGUGAGGAAUUUGGGCCUUUUCUUGGGAUGCUGAGGAGCCUGUGGUUAGGUGGUGGACCACCUCAUCAAGUUUACAUUUUCACUUGUGUCCUCAUUUUGAUUUUUCACCACCACCCCUACCUGAGUCAGGAGUGGAGAUUAGCCCAAAUUAAAGCUCGGGUGACUCAGGAGAGGUGAGACGUGACAGCAGAGGGGGCUGAGGGAGGGGGAAGGUGGGCAGCUGAUGCCUCAUG
This is a long non-coding RNA of Pan paniscus (pygmy chimpanzee), 600 nucleotides long. Lineage: Eukaryota; Metazoa; Chordata; Mammalia; Primates; Hominidae. The record is from Ensembl.